Calliphora vicina (urban bluebottle blowfly) is the source of this 336-nucleotide long non-coding RNA. RefSeq lists it as uncharacterized. The transcript has 2 exons. The record is from RefSeq and is a predicted model, not a curated record. Lineage: Eukaryota; Metazoa; Arthropoda; Insecta; Diptera; Calliphoridae.
CAAUUAAAGUGAGAACUUCAUUAAGUUCGGUCCAAGAAAUUUAUAAAUAUGAAGAUUUUUGUGUUGUUCAUGACGAUGCUAAGUUAUGUUUUGGCGGCCAGUGUUUUAGUACCUUUAACGUCUGUUAUACGUACUCCCGAAGAUGAUACUGCCAUUGUGGAAAGUUCUCGUAUUAGAGGAAAUUUUGCUUAUAGCACUGUGGAGGGUCAUGCUUAUAAAGCUAUAACACCAAUAUUGGGUCAUAUUGUAACACCGGACUACUUGCAGCCUGUUAAUUAUGUAUAUGUGCACAAUUCAUAAAUGAAACAGUUUAAAUAAAAUAAUUUUAAAAACUUA